UACGGAGGGUGCGAGCGUUGUCCGGAAUCACUGGGCGUAAAGGGCGCGUAGGCGGCGCGAGCAGUCUGUGGUGAAAGCCCGUGGCUCAACUGCGGGUCGGCCAUGGAUACUCUCGAGCUGGAGCACUGUAGAGGCAGAUGGAAUUCCGGGUGUAGCGGUGGAAUGCGUAGAGAUCCGGAAGAACACCGGUGGCGAAGGCGGUCUGCUGGGCAGUGGCUGACGCUGAGGCGCGACAGCGUGGGGAG
RNAcentral lists this ribosomal RNA (245 nucleotides) under uncultured bacterium. Its description in RNAcentral is "partial 16S ribosomal RNA". It matches the Rfam family "Bacterial small subunit ribosomal RNA", at positions 524 to 768 of the family's 1533-position model. The record is from RNAcentral.